GGUCUCAAAUGCACUAAGAAAGCAGCUGGUUACCUCAUAAUAGUGAAGCAGCCGUAGCAACAGUGGGCAAAUCUUGUCUGGCAAGCCAGUGUUAGAGCACACAGUUUCCAGCACUGGGGUGAUACAUAAUAAUUUAGAGAAACUAUUCCGGAUUUAAUUGACUCCUGCUGCCUCUGUUAACCAUAUGGAUAUCCAUGAUUGGCACUACAAUGCUAUUCCUACUCCUUCUGGAAGCAAUGUUGAUGGUCAUGAUCUUCUUACUACUGGAAACCAUGGUGACUUCCAUGUUUUCUCCUACAACUAGUGACAAUGGUAAGGUAAGUGUUCCUUGUUUGCUAAUGUGUAGAAUGUUAUUUUACAAGAUAUAACCAACCAUUGGUAACUUAAGUUGAUAUGCAUAAUUCAUGCUGCCAAUGGUCCCCAGGCUGAUGUCAUUGAUUUCUGCUGCCUCUGUUAAUCCCCUUGAUGUCUAUGAAAGCACCUCCCAUGCAUUCCUAUUGGUUCUGUAAACCAUGUUGUUGCAUGUGGUCCUUAUUACCAAGGGAUAACAUCUUAAUUGCCAAGACUUCUCUGGCCACUUAUGACCAUAAUAAUGUAAGUGUUCUGUGUUGCCAACAUAAAGAAUGUAAAAAGAAUGUAAAUUUCAAAGAACUGAAAUACCAACUGAAACUAAGUUAAUAUCCGGAAUACUUGCUGUCCCCUCCAAACAAAUUGAAUUCAUCUACCCCCGCUGCAUCUUUUAAACAUGUGGAUUUCCAUGAGCAGACAUACCAUGCUAUUCCUACUAUUUUGGAAGUCAUGUUGAGGAGGAUUCUUUCUUGCCCAUGGAUCUGAUGUUCAUGUAUAUCACUGCCCUGUCACCUGAGACCAUGUAGCUGCUACAAGAGUUCUGUGUUGCCAACAUGAAGGAUGUUAAUUUUUUGAUAACAACUACCAGCAAGACCAUGUUGCUAUCCAUUUUACAUGAUGGUACCUGAAACCAUGUGGAUUUAAUUGAUCUCUGCUAACUGUUAACCAUAUGGAUGUUCAUGAUUGGUACUAUAAUUCUAUUCAUACUACUUUUGAAAGCAAUGUUUAUGCUCAUGAUCUUUUAAACCACCGGAAUACAUGUUGAUUGUCAUGAUCUCUCCUGCUACGAGUGAUCAUGUUAAUGUAAGUGUUCCUUUUUGCCAAUGAAUAGAAUGGCAAUUUAACCAACUUUUGUAAACUAAAUUGAUAUGCAUUAUUCAUGCUGACAUGUGCAGCCAUGCUGAUGUAAUUGAUCACUGCUGCCUCUCUUAACCCAAUUGAUGUCUAUGAAUGGACACAAAUGGAACACUUUUGACUCUGUAAGCCAUGACAAUGCAUGUAGUUUUGGUUCCAUGGGAUAGUAUCUUGAUGGCCAUGACCUCUCCAUGCCCUGAGGACCAUGUGAAGGUAAGCAUUGUAUGUUUCCAGCAUGAAGAAUAUAAAUUUCCAAAAACUGAAAUACUAACUAAACUAAGUUGAAAUAUAGAAUGCAUGCUACCAACAAGAGAGUUGAUGCCACUACCCUGCUGUGUCUGUGAAACAUGUGGAUAUCCAUGAGCGGACAUACAAUGCAAUUCCUACUAUUUCUGGAAGCCAGGUUGAUACCAGGGUUCUUCCUUGCCCAUGGAUCUGAUGUGGAGUUCUAUCUGUCAUACUACCUGAGACCAUGUUGAUCCAAGAGUUCUGUCUUUCCAACUUGAAGAAUGUUAAUUUCCCUGAUCUCAAUACCAAAGUAAACUAUGUGGCUAUCCUUUCUACAUGCUGCCACCUGAAUCCUUGAGGAUUUAAUUGAUCUCUGCUGCUUCAAUUACCCAUAUGGAUGUCCAUGACUGGAACUACAAUGCUAUUCAUAACAUUUUUGUUAACAUUGUUGAUGCUCAUGAUUUUUUUUUAACCACAAGAUAUCAUGUAGAUUUCUGUGACAUCUCCUGUUACAAGUGAUGAUGUUAAUGUAAGUGUUCCUAUUGGCAAUGUGUAGAAUGGUAAUUUCGAAUAUUUAACAAGCAUUGGUAACUACACAGAUAUCUGUAAUUCAUGCUGCCAUCUCCAACCAUGUUGAUGUCAUAGAUCCCUAUUGCCACUCUUAACCCUGUUGAUGUCUAUGAAUGCACCUGCAAUAAAUUCCUGUUGGUUCUGUAAGCCAUGUUAAUACACGUGUUCCUUGUUACCAUGGGAUAACAUCUUGAUUGCCAUCACCUCUCUGGCCCCAUAUUGAUGGAAGUGUGCUGUGUUGCCAACAUAAAGAAUGUAAAUUUCCAAGAACUGAAACUAAGUUGAUAUCCGGAAUAUUUGCUGUCACCUCCAAAUAAAUUGAAUUCAUUCAUCCCUGAUGCAUCUUUAAACGUGGAUGUCCAUGAGCAGACAUACCAUGCUAUUCCUACUAUUUCUGGAAGCAUGUUGAUGCCGGGGUUCUUUCUUGCCCAUGGAUCUGAUGGCGAUGUCUAUCUGUCCUGCUACCAGAGAUUAUGUUCUUUCUUUCUAACUUGAAGAGUGUUAAUUUCCCUGAUCUCAAAUACUAUAGUAAACUAUGUGGCUAUCUAUUUGACAAAUUACCACCUAGAAACCUGUGGAUAUAAUACAUCCCUGCUUCUGUUAUACAUAUGGAUGUCCAUGAUUGGGAGCAUAAUGAUAAUAGUACUAUUUCUGGAAGCAAUGUUGAUGCUACUUAUCAUCUUACCACUGGGCAACAUGUCGAAUUCAAUGAUCAGUCACUACCUUAAGGUUAGUGUUUGUUGUUGCCAAUGUAUAGAAUGGUAAUUUCCAAGAUUUACUUAACUUUUGGAAACUAAGUUGAUACACAGAAUUCAUACUGCCACCUGCAGCCAUGCUGAUGUCAUUGAUCACUACUGCCUUUGCAAACCAUAUUGAUAUUAAUGAAUGAAGCUUCCAUGCAUUCCUAUUGGUUCUGUAAGCCAUGUUGAUGCUUGUGGUCCUGGUUACCAUGGGAUAACAUCUUUGUGACAAUGAGUUCUUCAUUCCCUUUUCACCUUAAUUAUGUAAGUGUUUUGUGUUGCCAAUUUGUAGAAUGUAAUUUCCAAGAAUUGAAAUACUAUCAGAAACUGGGUUAAUACCCUGAAUACAUUCACCACCUCCAAACAAGUUGAGGUCUUUAAUCUCAGCUGAGUCUCUUAAACAUGUGCAUAUCCAUGGUUGGAAGGGCAAUGCUAUCCCUACUCCUUCUGGAAUCAAGGGUUAUGCUCAUGAUCUUCUUACCACUGGACACCAUAUUGAUUUCCAUGAUCUCUCCUACUACAAGUGACAAUAUUAAGGUAAGUGUUUCUUUUUUGGCAUUAUAUAUAGAAAAGUAAUUUCCAAGAUUUAAUGAACCUUUGGUAACAUAGUUGAUAUCUGUAAUUCAUGCUGCCACCUGUACCCAUGCUGAUGUCAUUGACCACUGCUGCCUCUGUUAAACUUUUUGAUUUCUAUGAAAGGGCCUGACAGGAAUUCCUAUUGUUUCUGUAAGCCAUGUUGAUUCAUAUGGUCCUUGUUACCAUGGGAUAACAUCUUGAUUGCCAUGACCUCUCUGGCCCCAUAUGACCAUACUAAUUUUAGUAUUCUGUGUCACCAACAUAAAGAAUGUAAAUUUACAAGAACAAUAAUAUAAACUGAAACUAAGUUCAUAUCUGGAAUACUUGCUGUCACCUCCAAACACAUUGAAUAUAUUCAUCACUGCUGAAUUUCUAAAACAUGCAGAUGUCCAUGAGAAGGCAUACCAUGUUAUUCCUACUAUUUCUGGAAGCCACAUAAUGCCAGGGUUCAUUCGUGCUCAUGGAUCUAAUGUUGAUGUCUAUCUGUCCUGCUACCUGAGACCAUGUUGAUGCAAGAGUUCUAUAUUUCCAUCAUGAAGAUUGUUAAUUUCCUGAUCUCAACUACCGUAGUAAACUAUGUUUCUAUCCAUUCUACGUGCUGCCAGCUGAUAACUUGUGGAUUUAAUUGAUCCCUGCUUGUUCUGUUACCCAUAUGGAUGUCCAUGAUUGGAACCAUAAUAGUUUUCAUACUACUUCUGGUAGCAGUGUUGAUGCUCAUGGACGUGUGAACCACUGGACACCAUGUCGAUUUUCAUGAUAUCUGUUGCUACAGGUGAUGAUGUUAAUGUAAGUGAUCCUUGUUGACAAUGUAUACAAUGGUAAUUUCCAAGAUUUAACCAACUUUUGGUAACUAAGUUGAUACACAUUAUUCAUGCUGCUACCUGCAGCCAUACUGAGGUCAUUGAUCACUGAUGCCUGUGCAGACCAUGCUGAUAUUAAUGAAUGGAGCUCCCCUGCAUUCCUAUUGUUUCUGUAAGCCAUGUUGAUGCAGGUCUUCAUUUAUACCAUGGGUUGACAUCUUGUUGGCCAUAAAUUCUCCAGCCCCUUAUGGCUAUGUUAACCUCCAUUUUGACAAUAUGUAGAAUGGUAGUUUCCAAGAUUUAGCAAGCAUCAGUCACUAAGCAGAUAUCCAUAAUUCAUGCUGCAACCUCCAACCAUGCUGAUGUCCUUGACAGCCGUUGCCAAGGUUAACCUUGUUGAGGUCUAUGAAAGCCCCUCCAAUGCAUUCCUCUUGUUUCUGUAAGUCGUGUUGAUACAUGAGGUCCUUGUUACCAUGAGAUAACAUUUUGAUUACCAUGACCUCCUUGGCCCCUUAUGACCAUAUUGAUGGAAGUGUUCUGUGUUGCCAAUAUAAAGAAUGUGAAAUUUUAAGAAUUGAAAUAUCAAACAAAACCAAGUUGAUAUGCGCAGUAUUUGCUGUCACCACCAAACAAAUUGAAUUAAUUUAUCCCUGCUGCAUCUGUUAUAUAUGAGGAUGUCCAUGAGCGGACAUACAAUGCAGUUCCUACUAUUUCUGGAAACCAGGUUGAUGACAGCGUUCUUUCUUGCACAUGGAACUUAUUUUGAUGUCUAUCUGUCCUCCUACCUGACAGCAUGUUGGUACAAGAGUUCUGUCUUUCCAUCAUGAAGAAAAUUAAUUUCUCUGAUCUCAAAUACCAAAGUAAACUGUGUGGCUAUUCAUUCUACAUUCUGCCAACUGAAACCCUGUAGAUAUAAUACAUCGCUACUGCUUCUGUGAACCAAGGGGAUGUCCAUGAUUGGAGGCACAAUGCCAUUCUUAUUACUUCUGGAAGCAAUGUUGAUGCUAAUUAUCUUCUACUACUUGGCACCAUGUUUUUUUUCUAUGAUAUCUCCUGCUACAAGUCACCACCUUAAGUGUUUGUUGUUGCCAGUGUGUAGAAUGGUAAUUUCCAAGAUUUAAUUAACUUUUGGUAGCUAAGUUGAUACACAUAAUUCAUACUGCCACCUGCAGCCAACCUGACGUCAUUGGUCACUGCUGCCUUUGCAAACCAUGUUGAUAUUAGUGAAUAGAGCUCCCAUGCAUUCCUAUUCAUUCUGGAAGCCAUGUUGAUGCAUGUGGUCCUUUUUACCAUGGGAUAACACCUUGAUGACUUUGAUUUCUCCAUCCCCUAUGACCUUAUUAAUGUAAGUAUUCUGUAUUGCCAAUAUGAAGAAUGUAAUUUUCAAGAAUUGAAAUACCAAUAGAAACUAAGAUAAUAACCGAAAGACAUGCCACUACCUCCAAAUAAGUUGAGGUCUUUAAAUCCAGCUGAGUCUUUUCAACAUGUGCAUGUCCAUGAUUGGAACUACAAUACUAUUCCUACUCCUUCUGAAAGCAAUGUUGAUGCUCAUGAUCUUACCACUGGACAACGGGUUGAUUUCCAUGAUCUCUCCUGAUACAAGUGACAAUAUUAAGAUAAGUGUUCCUUUUUGGCAAUAUAUAGAAUGGUAAUUCCCAAGAUUUAAUGAACCUUUGUUAACAAGCUUAUAUCUGUAAGUCAUGCUGCCAACUGCACCCAUGCUGAUGUCAUUGACUGCUGCUGCUUCUGUUAACCCUGUUGAUGUCUAUGAAAGGAAGUGCCAUGCAUUCCUAUUGGUUCUGUAAGCCAUGAUGAUUCAUGUGGUUUUUGUUACCAUGAGAUGACAUCUUUAUUGCCAUGACCUCUCUGGCCCCUUAUGACCAUAUUAAUGUAAAUGUUCUGUGUUGGCAACAAAAAGAAUGUAAAUUUCCAAGAACAAAAAUACCAACUGAAACUAGUUGAUAUCCAGAAUACUUGCUGUCACCUCCAAACAAAUUGAAUUCAUUCAUCCCUGCUACAUCUGUUGAACAUGCGGAUUUCCAUGAGCAGAUAUAUCAUGCUAUUUCUACUAUUUCUUGGAGUCACAUUGAUGCCAGGGUUCUUCUUGCCCAUGGAUCUGAUGUUGAUGUCUAUCUGUCCUGCUUCCUGAGACCAUGUUCAUGCAAGAGAUCUGUCUUUUCAACAUGAAGAAAGUUAAUUUCCCUGAUCUCUAAUAACAUAGCAAACUAUGUGGCUAUCCAUUCAACAUUCUGCCACCUGAAAACUUGUGGAUUUAAUGGAUUCCUGCUGCUUUUGUUACCCAUAUGGAUGUCCAUGUUUGGAAAUAUAAUUCUUACUACUUCUGGUAGCAGUGUUGAUGCUCAUAGUCUUCUAAUCCACUGGACAUCAUGUUGAUAUCCAUGAUCUCUGUUUCUACAGGUGAUUAUGUUAAUGUAGACUUUAAUUGUUGCAAAUGUAUAGAAUGGUAAUUUACAUAAUUUAACCAACUUUGAUGAUAACUGAGUUGGUACACAUAAUUCAUACUAGUACCUGCAGCCAUGCUGAUGUCAUUGAUCACUGAUGCCUUUGCAAACCCUGCUGAUAUUAAUGAAUGGCGCUCCCCUGCAUUUCUAUUGUUUCUGUAAGCCAUGUUGAUGCAGGUGUUCCUUUAUAUCAUGGGUUAACAUAAUGAUUGCCAUAAAUUCCCCAGCCCCUUAUGCCCAUAUUCAGGCAAGUGUUUCUUUUUGGCAAUCUGUAGAAUGGUAAUUACCAAGAUUUAAGAAGCAUUUGUAACUAAGCAGAUAUCCAUAAUUCAUGCUUCCAUCUCCAACCAUGUUGAUGUCACUGAUCUCUGUUGCAACUUUUAACUUUGUUGAUAUCUAUGAAUGCACUUCCAAUGCAUUUCUGUUGUUUCUGUGAGCUAUGUUGAUGAAUGUGGUCUUUGUUACCAUGAGAUAACAUUUUGAUUGCCAUGCCCUCUCUGGCCCUUUAUGUUCAUAUGGAUGGAAGUGUUCUUUGUUGACAACACAGAGACUGUAAAUUUCCAAAAAUUCAAAUAGCAACUGAAUCUAAGUUUGUAUCCAGACUAUUUGCUGUCACCUCCAAACAAUUUGAAUUCUUUCAUCCCUGCUCCAUCUCUUAAACAUGUGGAUGUCCAUGAGCAGACAUACAAUGUUAUUUCUACUAUUUCUGAAACCCACAAUGAUUCAAGGAUUCUUUCUUGCCCAUGGAUCUGAUGUUGAUGUCUAUCUGUCUUCCUACUGGAAAUCAUGUUGGUGGUAUAUCCAUCAUGAAGAAAGUUAAUUUCUCUCAUCUCAACUACCAAAGUAAACUGUGUGGCUAUUCAUUCUAUAUUUUACCACCUGAAACACUGUGGAUAUAAUACAUCCCUAUUGCUUCUGUUAAUUAUAUGGAUGUCCAUGAUUGGAGGCACAAUACCAUUCUUACUACUCCAGAAGCAAUAUUGAUUCUCAUUAUCUUCUUUCCACUGGGUACCAUAUUCAUUUCUAUAAUCUCUCCUGCUACAAGUCACCACCGUAAGGUAAGUGUUUGUUGUUGCCAAUGUAUAGAAUGAUAAUUUCCAAGAUUUAACCAGCUUUUGAUUCACAUUAUUCAUGCUGCCACCUGCCACCAUGCUGAUGUCAUUGAUCACUACUGCAAUUGCAAACCCUGUUGAUAUUAAUGAAUGGAGCUCCCAUGCAUUCCUAUUAGUUCUGUAAGCCAUGUCGUUGCAUGUGGUCAUUUUUACCAAGGGACAACAGCUUGAUUGCUAUGAAUUCUCCAUCCCCUUAACACAUUAUUUAUGUAAGAGUUCUGUUUUGCCAAUAUGAAUAAUGUAAUUUUCAAGAUUCGAAAUACUAACAGAAACUGGGUUAAUAUCUUGAAUUCAUGCUGCUACCUCCAAACAAUUUGAGUUCAUUAAUUCUAGCUGAGUCUAUUAUAAAUGUGCAUGUCCAUGAUUGGAACUACAAUGCUAUCCAUACCUAUGCUUCUUGGAAGCAAUAUUGAUGCUCCUGAUCUUCUUACCACUGGACACAAUGGUGACUUCCCUGAUUUCUCCUGCUUCAAGUGACUAUGUUAAGGUAAGUGUACCUUUUUGGCAAUAUAUAGAAUGGUAAUUACUGAGAUUUAAUGAACCUUUGGUGACGUAGCUGAUACUUGUAAUUCAUGCUGCCACCUGCACCCAUGAUGAUGUCAUUGACUCCUGCUGCCUCUGUUAACCUUGUUGAUGUCUAUGAAAGGACCUGAUAGGAAUUCCUAAUGUUUUGCUAAGCCAUGUUGAUGCAUUUAUUCCUUGUUACCAUGUCAUAACAUCUUGAUUGCCAUGACUUCUCUGGACACCUAUGACCAUAUUGAUGUAUAUGUUCUGUGUUGCCAACAUAAAGAAUGUAAAUUUCCAAGAAGAAAAAUACCAACAGAAACUAAGUUGACAUUUGGAAUAAUUGUCACCUCAAAAAACGUUGCAUUCAUUCAUCCCUUUUGCAUCUGUUAAACAUGCGGAUGUCCAUGAGAAGACAUACCAUGCUAUUCCUACUAUUUCUGGAAGCUAUGUUGAUGCCAGGAUUCUUUCUUGCCCAUGGAUCUGAUGUUGAUGUCCAUAUGUCCUCCUACCUGAGGCCAUGUUGAUGCAAGUGUUCUGUCUUUUCAACAAAAAAGAAUGUUAAUUUCCCUAGUUUCAACUCCCAUAGUAUACUAUGUGGCUAUCCAUUCAACAUUCUACCACCUGAAAUCUUGUGGAUUCAAUUGUUCCAUGCUGCUUCCAAUGUCCAUAUGAAUGUCCGUGAGUGGAACUAUAAUGCUUUUCCUACUACAUAUGGUAGCAGUGUUGAUGCUCAUGGUCUUGUAAACCACUGGACACCAUGUUGAUUUUCAUGAUAUCCGUUGCUACAGGUGAUGAUGUUAAUGUAAGUGCUAUUUGUUGCCAAUGUAUAGAAUGAAAAUUUCCAAGAUUUAACCAAAUUUUGUUAACUAGUAGAUACACAUAAUUCAUGCUGCCACCUGCAGUCAUGCUGAUGUCAUUGAUCACUGCUGCCUUUGCAAACCCCGCUGACAUUAAUGAAUGGAGCUCCCCUGCAUUCCUAUUGGUUCUGUAAGCCUUGUUGAUACAGGUGGUCCUUUAUACCAUGAGUUAAUAUCUUGAUUGCCAUAAAUUCUCAAUCCCCUUAUGGCCAUAUUAAGGCAAGGGUUUUUGUUUGGCAAUGUGUAGAAUGGUAAUCUUCAAGAUUUAAUAAGAAUUGGCAACUAAGCAGAUAUCCCUAAUUCAUGCUACCAUCUAAUACCAUGCUGAUAUCCUUGACACCCGUUGCCACUGUUAAUAAUGUUGCUGUCUAUGAAUGCACCUCCAAUGCAUUCCUAUUGGUUCUGUAAGCCAUGUUGAUGAGUGUGGUCAUUAUUACUGUUGGAUAACACCUUGAUUGCUUGAAUUCUCCAUCCCCUUAUCACCAUAUUGAUGGAAGUGUUCUGUGUUACUCAUAUGAAGAAAGUAAUAUCCAAGAAUUGAAAUACUAACAGAAACUAAGUUAGUAUCCUGAUUGCAUGCUGCUAACUCCAAACAAGUUGAGGUCUUUAAACCCAGCUGAGUCUCUUAAACAUAUGCAUGUCCAUGAUUGGAACUACAAUGCUAUUCCUACUCCUUCUGGAAGCAAUGUUGAUGCUCAUGAUCUUCUAACCACUGGACACCAUGGUGACUUCCAAGAUCUCUCCUGAUAUAAGUGACCGUAUUAAGGUAAGUGUACAUUUAUGGCAAUAUAUACAAUGAUAAUUUCAGGGUGAUUUAAUGAACUUUUGUUACCUAGGCUAAUAUCUGUAUUUCAUGCUGCCACCUGUACCCAUGCUGAUGUCUUUGACUGCUGCUGCCUCUGUUAACCUUCUUGAUGUCUAUGAAAGGGCCUGACAGGAAUUCCUAUUGUUUGUGUAAGCCAUGUUGAUGCAUAUGAUCCUUGUUACUGAGGGAUUGCAUCUUGAUUGCCAAGCCCUCUCUGGCCCUAUAUGACCAUAUUAAUGUAAGUGUUUUGUAUUGCCAACAUAAAGAAUGUAAAUUCCGAAAAACAAAAUUACCAACAGAAACUAAGUGGAUAUCCGGAAUACUUGCUGUAACCUCCAAACAAUUUGAAUUCAUUCAUCCUUGCUGCAUCUUUUAAGCAUGCGAAUAUCUAUGAGCAGAUAUAUCAUGCUAUUCCUACUAUUUCUGGAAGUCACAUUGAUGCCAGGGUUUUCUCUUGCCCAUGGGUCUGAUAUUUAUGUCUGUUUGUCCUACUACCUGAGAACAUAUUGAUGCAAGAGAUCUGUCUUUCCAACAUGAAGAAUGUUAAUUUCCCUGAUCUCAACUACCAUAGUAAACUAUGUGGCUAUCCAUUCUACGUGCUGCCACACGAUAUCUUGUGCAUUUACCUGAUCCCUGCUGCUUCCAUGACCCAUAUGGAUAACCAUGAUUGGAACUAUAAUGCUUUUCCUACUACUUCUGGUAGCAGUGUUGAUGCUCAUGGUCUAAUAAACCACCGGACACCAUGGUAAUUUCCAUGAUUUAACCAAGUUUGGUAACUGAGUUGGUACACAUAAUUCAUACUAUCACCUGCAGCCAUGCUGAUGUCAUUGAUCACUGAUGCCUUUGCAAACCCUGCUGAUAUUAAUGAAUGGAGCUCCCAUGCAUUCCUAUUGUUUCUGUAAGCCAUGUUGAUGCAGGUCUUCCUUUAUAACAUGGGUUAACAUCUUGAUUGCCUAAAUUCUCUAGCCCAUUAUGACCAUAUUAAAGCAAGGGUUCCUUUUUGGCAAUGUGUAGAAUGGUAAUUUCCAAGAUUUAACAAACAUUCUUUACUAAGCAGAUAUCCAUAAUUCAUGCUUCCAUCUCCAACCAUGCUGAUGUCAUUGAUCCCUGUUGCCACUGUUAACCCUGUUGAUGUCUAUGAAUGCACCUGCAAUGCAUUACUGUUGGUUCUGUAAACCGUGUUGAUGCAUGUGGUCCUUGUUACCAUGGGAUAACAUCUUGAUUGCCAUGACCUGUCUGGCCCCUUAUGACCUUUUUGAUGUAAGUGUUCUGUUUUGCUAAGAAUUCAAAUACCAACUGAAACUAACUUGAUAUCUGGAUUAUUUGCUGUCACCUCCAAACAAAUCGAAUUCAUUUAUUCCAGCUGCAUGUGUUAAACAUGUAGAUGUCCAUGAGCAGACAUACCAUGCCAUUCCUUCUAUUUCUGGAAGCCACAUUGAUGCCAGGAUUCUCUCUUGCCCCUGGAUCUGAUGUUGAUGUCUAUCUGUCCUCCUACCUGACAUCAUGUUGGUGCACGAAUUCUGUCUUUCCAUCAUGAAGAAAGUUAAUUUUCUAAUCUCAACUACCAAAGUAAACUGUGUGGCUAUCCAUUCUACAUUUUCCACCUGAAACACUGUUAACCAUGUGAAUGAUCAUGAUUGGAGGCACAAUUGCAUUUUACUAUUCCAGAAACAAUAUUGAUGCUCAUUAUCUUGUUGCCACUGGGCAACAUGUUGAUUUCUAUGAUCUCUCCUCCUACAAGUCACCACCUUAAGGUUGAUUUCCAUGAUCUCUCCUCUUACAAAUGAAAAUAUUAAGGUAAGUGUCUUUUUUGUCAAUAUAUAGAAUGGUAAUUCCUACGAUUUAAUGAACCUUUGGUAAUGUAGCUGAUAUCUGUAAUUCAUGCUGCCACCUGCACCCAUGCUGAUGUCAUUUACCAUUGUUGCCUCUGUUAAUCUUUUUGAUUUCUAUGAAAGGGCCUGACAGGAAUUCCUAUUGUUUGUGUAAGCCAUGUUGAUUCAUAUUGUCCUAGUUACUGUGGGAUAACAUUGUGAUUGCCAUGACCUCUCUGGCCCCUUGUGACCAUAUUCCUGGAAGUGUUCUGUGUUUCCAGCAUGAAGAAUGUAAAUUUCCAAGUACAAAAAUAGCAACUGAAACUAAUUUGAUAUCUGGAAUACUUGUUGUCACCUCCAAACAAAUUAAAUCUUUCAUCCCUGCUGCAUCUUUUAAUCAUGCAGAUGUCCAUGAGCAGACAUACUAUACUAUUCCUACUAUUUCUGGAAUCCAUGUUGAUGCCAGGGUUCUUUUUGCCCAUGGAUCUGAUAUUGAUGUCUAUCUGUCCUCCUACCUGAUAUCAUGUUGAUGUAAGAGUUCUGUCUUUCUAACAUGAAGAAUGUUAAUUUCCCUGAUCUCAACUACCAUAGUAAACUAUGUGGCUAUCCAUUCAACAUGCUACCACCUGAAACCUUGUGGAUUUUAUUGAUCCAUGCUGCUUUUGAUACCCAUAUACAUGUCCAUGAUUGGAACUAUAAUGCAUUUUCUAAUACUUCUGGUAUCAGAUUGAUGCUCAUGGUCUUGUUAACCACUGGAUGUCAUAUGGAUUUCCAUGAUCUCUGUUUCUACAGGUGAUGAAGCUAAUAUAAGUGUUCCUUGUUGCCAAUGUAUAGAAUGAUAAUUUCCAAGAUUUAACCAACUUUUGGUAACUAAGUUAUGCUGCCAACUGCAGCCAUGCUGAUGUCAUUGAUCACUACUACUUUUGCAAACCCUGCUUAUAAUAAUGAAUGGAGCUCCCCUGCAAUCCUAUUGGUUUUAUAAGCCAUGUUGAUGCAGGUGGUCCUUUAUACAAUGGGUUAAUAUCAUCUUUGCCAUAAAUUCACAAGCCCCUUAUGGCCAUAUUAAGGCAAGUGGUCCUUUUUGACAUUGUGUAAAAUGGUAAUUUCCAAGAUUUAACAAGCAUCAGUAACUAAGCAGAUAUCCCUAAUUCAUGCUACAACCUACAAACAUGUGGAUGUCAUUGGUCCCUGUUGCCAAUAUUAACCCUUUUGUUGUCUAUGAAUGUACAUCCAAUGCAUUCCUAUUGAUUCUGUAAGCCACGUUGAUGCAUGUGGUCCUUAUUACCAUGGGAUAACACCUCCAUUGCUUUCAAUUCUCCAUUCCCUUAUCACCUUAUUUGUGUAAGUAUUCUGUGUUGCACAUAUAAUGAAUGUAAUUUCCAAGAAUUGAUCUACUAACAGAAACUAAGUUAAUAUCCUGAAUACAUGAUGUUACCUCCAAACAAGUUGAGGUCUUUAAAUCCAGCUGAGUCUCUUAAACAUGUGCAUAUCCAUGGUUGGAAGGGCAAUGCUAUUCUUACUCCUUCUGGGAGCAAUGUUGAUGUUCAUGAUCUUACCACUGGGCACCAGGUUGAUUUCUAUGAUCUCUUCUGCUACAAGUCAUCAUGUAAGGUAAGUGUACCUUUUUGGCAAUAUAUAGAAUAGUAAUUCCCCAGAUUUAAUGAACCUUUGUUAAGUUAGCUGAUAUCUGUAAUUCAUGCUGCCACCUGCACCCAUGCUGAUGUCAUUGACUCCUGCUGCCUCUGUUAACCUUGAUAAUGUUUAUGAAACUACCUGUCUUACAUUGCUAUUGUUUUGUAAG
Peromyscus maniculatus bairdii (prairie deer mouse) is the source of this 13472-nucleotide non-coding RNA. Lineage: Eukaryota; Metazoa; Chordata; Mammalia; Rodentia; Cricetidae. The record is from RefSeq and is a predicted model, not a curated record.